RNAcentral lists this ribosomal RNA (332 nucleotides) under uncultured eukaryote. RNAcentral's name for it is "partial 18S ribosomal RNA". It matches the Rfam family "Eukaryotic small subunit ribosomal RNA", at positions 1470 to 1796 of the family's 1831-position model. The record is from RNAcentral.
CCCUUAGAUGUCCUGGGCUGCACGCGCGCUACACUGGAAGUUACGGAUUGAGAUACUACCUUGUCCGAAAUGGCCCGGGUAAUCACCUAAAAGCUUGUCAUAAUUGGAAUGGAUUAUUGUAACUAGUAAUCCUGAACGAGGAAUUCCUAGUAAGUCCCAGUCAACAGCUGGUACUGAUUACGUCCCUGCCCUUUGUACACACCGCCCGUCGCUACUACUGAUUGGACGUUUAAGCAAGAUUUUUAAACACUGACAGUGUGUAGUUCACGCUAUACUACAGUGAGAAGAAGAAGAUCGAGCUUACUUGUCUAGAGGAAGUAAAAGUCGUAACA